RNAcentral lists this ribosomal RNA (200 nucleotides) under uncultured bacterium. Its description in RNAcentral is "partial 16S ribosomal RNA". It matches the Rfam family "Bacterial small subunit ribosomal RNA", at positions 8 to 202 of the family's 1533-position model. The record is from RNAcentral.
AGAGUUUGAUCCUGGCUCAGAACGAACGCUGGCGGCGUGCUUAACACAUGCAAGUCGCGUGCGCAGUUCCGUAGCAAUACUGGAUGGGCGCACGGCGCACGGGUGCGUAACACGUGGGCAAUCUGCCCUCUGAUGGGGAAUAACCCCGCGAAAGCGGGGCUAAUACCGCAUGACAUUCCUUGGACUGCGGUUCGAGGAUU